Molecule: ribosomal RNA, 192 nt
Filed under: Triticum aestivum (bread wheat)
Lineage: Eukaryota; Viridiplantae; Streptophyta; Magnoliopsida; Poales; Poaceae
Description: partial small subunit ribosomal RNA
Source: RNAcentral
AUGGCUUGGGAUAAAUUGGUUCUACCUAAAUCCAAAGGAGGGAUGUGGUACAGGGAUAUGAGGGCGUUUAAUCAAGCUUUGCUUGCUAAACAAGCCUGGCGACUCCUUGUUGCACCUGAAUCGCUUUGUGCAAGACUACUAUGGGCUAAAUAUUAUCCAAAUGGGAAUCUACUGGAUAGUUUUUCCGAGUAA